AGAGUUUGAUCCUGGCUCAGAUUGAACGCUGGCGGCAUGCCUUACACAUGCAAGUCGAACGGCAGCACGGGGGCAACCCUGGUGGCGAGUGGCGAACGGGUGAGUAAUGCAUCGGAACGUGCCCUGAAGUGGGGGAUAACGUAGCGAAAGUUACGCUAAUACCGCAUAUUCUGUGAGCAGGAAAGCAGGGGAUCGCAAGACCUUGCGCUUUGGGAGCGGCCGAUGUCGGAUUAGCUAGUUGGUGGGGUAAAAGCUCACCAAGGCGACGAUCCGUAGCGGGUCUGAGAGGAUGAUCCGCCACACUGGGACUGAGGCACGGCCCAGACUCCUACGGGAGGCAGCAGUGGGGAAUUUUGGACAAUGGGCGCAAGCCUGAUCCAGCCAUGCCGCGUGAGUGAAGAAGGCCUUCGGGUUGUAAAGCUCUUUCGGCGGGGAAGAAAUUGCACUCGUUAAUACCGGGUGUAGAUGACGGUACCCGCAUAAGAAGCACCGGCUAACUACGUGCCAGCAGCCGCGGUAAUACGUAGGGUGCGAGCGUUAAUCGGAAUUACUGGGCGUAAAGCGUGCGCAGGUGGUUGUGUAAGUCAGAUGUGAAAUCCCCGGGCUCAACCUGGGAACUGCAUUUGAGACUGCACGGCUAGAGGAUGGCAGAGGGGGGUAGAAUUCCACGUGUAGCAGUGAAAUGCGUAGAGAUGUGGAGGAAUACCGAUGGCGAAGGCAGCCCCCUGGGCUAUUUCUGACACUCAUGCACGAAAGCGUGGGGAGCAAACAGGAUUAGAUACCCUGGAGUCCACGCCCU
RNAcentral lists this ribosomal RNA (799 nucleotides) under uncultured bacterium. RNAcentral's name for it is "bacterial SSU rRNA". It matches the Rfam family "Bacterial small subunit ribosomal RNA", at positions 8 to 803 of the family's 1533-position model. The record is from RNAcentral.